This 295-nucleotide ribosomal RNA is filed under the name Dieckmanniellus nitidulus. Its description in RNAcentral is "partial 16S ribosomal RNA". The stretch from base 112 to 173 matches the Rfam family "tRNA". The record is from RNAcentral. Lineage: Eukaryota; Metazoa; Arthropoda; Insecta; Coleoptera; Brentidae.
UUUCAAACCGGUGUGAGCCAGGUUGGUUUCUAUCUUUAAUUAUAAAUAAUAUUUUAGUACGAAAGGACCUAAAUAUUAAAUUAAAAAUUUGUAAUUAGAUUAAUAUUAAAUAUUAUUUUGGCAGAUUAGUGCGAUAGAUUUAGAAUCUAUAUAUCGUAGUUUUACAAAUAAUACUUGUUAUUAAAAGAUAUAUUUUUGAUAUUAAUUUCUAGUUUAUUAUUGGUAAUUUGUGUAAUAAUUGGGGUAGCUUUUUUAACUUUAUUAGAGCGUAAAGUUUUAGGAUAUAUUCAAAUUC